Molecule: unclassified non-coding RNA, 376 nt
Filed under: uncultured Euzebyaceae bacterium
Lineage: Bacteria; Bacillati; Actinomycetota; Nitriliruptoria; Euzebyales; Euzebyaceae
Description: contains 16S-23S intergenic spacer region
Source: RNAcentral
UCCGGUUUGACACCGGCAGUCUCCUAUGAGUCCCCGACAUGACUCGCUGGCAACAUAGGAUAGGGGUUGCGCUCGUUGCGGGACUUAACCCAACACCUCACGGCACGAGCUGACGACAACCAUGCACCACCUGUGCACGGCCCCGAAGGACACCGCAUCUCUGCGGCUUUUCCGUGCAUUUCAAGCCCUGGUAAGGUUCUUCGCGUUGCGUCGAAUUAAGCCACAUGCUCCGCCGCUUGUGCGGGCCCCCGUCAAUUCCCUUGAGUUUUAGCCUUGCGGCCGCACUCCCCAGGCGGGGUGCUUAAUGCGUUAGCUGCGGCACGGAGGGGGUCAAUACCCCCCACACCUAGCACCCAUCGUUUACGGCUAGGACUAC